This is a long non-coding RNA of Micropterus salmoides (largemouth bass), 335 nucleotides long. RefSeq lists it as uncharacterized. Lineage: Eukaryota; Metazoa; Chordata; Actinopteri; Centrarchiformes; Centrarchidae. The record is from RefSeq and is a predicted model, not a curated record. The transcript has 4 exons.
CACAGACGACCGGUAACGUUACAAACCAGGACUCACUUUAAAACUGAAGCCCAAGGAUGGAUCAAUACCAACUUCAGACUUUGAACCUUCAUAUCCAGAGCCAUGAGAAUCAGAGGAAAUGUCCGGAAGUUUCUAGCAGAUUCAGCUAUAACUGAUGCAGUGAAAUAUGUGGUGCACCAGGGCUCAGCGCAAAGCUGUAGCUUUUUUCCAACUGGAUACACAUAAAGAUUUAUAGGAUUAACAACGUAUAUCCAGUCUUUGACCAUCAGUAUUUACUUUUAGUGGGAGUGGCAGGUCUGCAUAAAAGAAGCCCCAGGACAGAGCUUCAAGUUCAU